GAACGCGAAGAACCUUACCAAGUCUUGACAUCCUUUUACCACUCUAGAGAUAGAGCUUUCCCUUCGGGGACAAAGUGACAGGUGGUGCAUGGUUGUCGUCAGCUCGUGUCGUGAGAUGUUGGGUUAAGUCCCGCAACGAGCGCAACCCUUAUUACUAGUUGCCAGCAUUGAGUUGGGCACUCUAGUGAGACUGCCGGUGACAAACCGGAGGAAGGUGGGGAUGACGUCAAAUCAUCAUGCCCCUUAUGACUUGGGCUACACACGUGCUACAAUGGAUGGUACAACGAGCAGCGAACUCGCGAGGGUAAGCGAAUCUCUUAAAGCCAUUCUCAGUUCGGAUUGUAGGCUGCAACUCGCCUACAUGAAGCCGGAAUCGCUAGUAAUCGCGGAUCAGCACGCCGCGGUGAAUACGUUCCCGGGUCUUGUACACACC
RNAcentral lists this ribosomal RNA (433 nucleotides) under uncultured bacterium. Its description in RNAcentral is "bacterial SSU rRNA". It matches the Rfam family "Bacterial small subunit ribosomal RNA", at positions 957 to 1391 of the family's 1533-position model. The record is from RNAcentral.